Molecule: long non-coding RNA, 582 nt
Filed under: Helianthus annuus (common sunflower)
Lineage: Eukaryota; Viridiplantae; Streptophyta; Magnoliopsida; Asterales; Asteraceae
Source: RNAcentral
UUGGGGAGGGAAAACGAAACGAAAAACCCUAAUCGAUUGCUGAUUGUUUCUCCCCACGGUAACUCUGCGUCGUUGCUGAUGGUUCUUGCUUUUCCGUCUAUGCCACCUCACUCCUGGUAUUCUUCAUCCAGGUCUUUAUAUUUAAAGAUUCAUUGUCAUUGAAGUGGUAUUCUCAAUCCAUGUCUUUAUUAUAUGGGGCCUUUAAUUCAUUUUUCUGCAAUUUUGGGGAAAUUUCAACUCUUUCAUUUUGAUUUCAUCAUUUCUUGUUGGAGAACUAUGAAUUUCGUGAUUUCAUUGCUCAAUUCAUUUUAAAUAUAGCAUUAUUCCCAAUUUCAAGUAGGUUUUUGAUCUGUUUUUGUGUUCCCUCUAAGUCUAAAGAUACACAGGCACUUAGACUCCUUGAUGAUCAAAGCUGUAGAUGAACUCAUGAACGUGGUCUAUAUGCUCUUUGAUGGAUUGGAACCUGGAACAUCAACUGUUUCAGUUGUCACAAGAAGAAUAUUAUGACCAUUGGAGCUCAAGACAGCUUGCUGCAGCUGCCAAACUUAUCGAAGCAAGGCAUACUAAGAAUCAGAGGACGAG